RNAcentral lists this non-coding RNA (157 nucleotides) under Gemmiger qucibialis. RNAcentral's name for it is "THF riboswitch". It matches the Rfam family "THF (Tetrahydrofolate) riboswitch aptamer". Rfam says of the family: THF riboswitch presents a pseudoknot that joins P1-P2 and the loop of P3 and two THF binding. Lineage: Bacteria; Bacillati; Bacillota; Clostridia; Eubacteriales; Oscillospiraceae. The record is from RNAcentral.
GCAGAGUAGAAACCCGCGCGUUAGGCAAAGCGGCAAUGGCGCCGCUUUGCUGCAGUGCCUGACCAACGGGGAGUUGUGGCAGGACGAAGAUGCAGGGCAGGGGAGUGCAAUGUGCACGCCGCUGCCGGCACGCGGUGCUGGUUUCGCAUCCCACUGC